This 568-nucleotide small RNA is filed under the name Pongo abelii (Sumatran orangutan). RNAcentral describes it as "retained intron". The record is from RNAcentral. Lineage: Eukaryota; Metazoa; Chordata; Mammalia; Primates; Hominidae.
ACUGGGGGGGGGUGGCGCGGCGGCGGUGGCAUCCGCGGCCAUGGCGGCGACUACUGCCAACCCCGAAAUGACAUCAGAUGUACCAUCACUGGGUCCAGCCAUUGCCUCUGGAAACCCUGGACCUGGAAUUCAAGGUGGAGGAGCCAUUGUCCAGAGGGCUAUUAAGCGGCGACCAGGGCUGGAUUUUGAUGAUGAUGGAGAAGGGAACAGUAAAUUUUUGAGGUGUGAUGAAGAUCAGAUAUCUAACGAUAAGGAGCGGUUUGCCAGGUCGGAUGAUGAGCAGAGUUCUGCGGAUAAAGAGAGACUUGCCAGGGAAAAUCACAGUGAAAUUGAACGGCGGCGACGGAACAAGAUGACAGCCUACAUCACAGAACUGUCAGAUAUGGUACCCACCUGUAGUGCCCUGGCUCGAAAACCAGACAAGCUAACCAUCUUACGCAUGGCAGUUUCUCACAUGAAGUCCUUGCGGGGAACUGGCAACACAUCCACUGAUGGCUCCUAUAAGCCAUCUUUCCUCACUGAUCAGGUCUCUGGGACUUAUAGUUCUGAGAGAGUCUAGAAUCUGGGU